UACACUCACUUAGGAUAUUUGCCAAAGCAUUUCACUUCAUUUUUGAAAACUUUGGAUACACUUGGGAAAGCUAGCUAUCAGCAUGGAGCAAAUUAAGCCCUCAAGAUGCCCUGUGGUCGGCUGCACAAAUCAGCACAGAUCUGUACAUAAUGUCCGAGCCUCAGAAGAGACAAGAGUGAAAUGGAUUGAAUUCAUAUUUAAUGGUAAUGUUCCGGAAAGAAUUGGCAAAAGUCUGUUGGUGUGCGCAAGCCAUUUUGAAUUGGACUGUUUUACCAAUCUGGGCCAAUAUAACGCUGGACUGGCAACAAGAUUGACCUUGCAAGCAGGAUCGGUACCAUCUAUUUGUCGCAGUACAGACGAGGGAAUUGUAAGUAUCUUUCAAAAAAAAUAUUUUGACCGUUUAGACAAUAGUGUGGGCGGUUAAAGACGUUGCCAAUGUUAGAGGGCUUGGGGGAUGUUAGAUAGCAUUGUUGCGUUUUGGGGAAAUGUGUAGCCUACUUGGGGAACUGUAUAUAGCUCUUGCAGUUUAUUAUUAUUUAUUAUUAUACGGAUCAAUAAUAUAAUAUAAUAUAUUAUAUUGAUUUAUAUAUUAUGGAUUGAUUUCAUAUAUGAAAGCAAUCUUCCUGCAAGAGUUGGCAAAUAUCUGUGCGCUAACCACUUUGAAUUGUGUUUUGUCAACCUGGGCCAAUAUAACGCUGGACUCGCUGGAAGGUUGAUAUUGAAAGGGGGGUCGGUGCCAUCUAUCCGUCGCAGGACUGAAGACGAGGGAAAUGAAGAACAUCUGGACAUUGUCCUAGGCUACAGCAUGUGGCCUGUCAGACAGAUCCUCCAAAGAUGCAUAUCUGGAGCACCAGAAGAAGGGCAGGACCACUCGGAUUUUUCGUCCCAGAAAGCCCCAAAACCAGCUAACAAAGAUUUUGUACGCCAAAGACCUGUAACGUCUGAGCAAAGUUUACAUUGUAUUGAGAGAAUAAAUGGUGACACACAUCUGUUGAAUCUUCCUUUGUAAACAGUAUGGCUACUGAUGGCACAACCAAUGUUUUUUUUUUAAUUAUUACCCAUGUACUAGCCAGUACAUUUAAUAACUAUGCUUAAAAAGUCUAUAGACACAGUUUUGGUAUGUAACAUGUCAACAGGUACAAGGCCCGGAUGAUUAACCAUGCAUGCAUGUUAGUUGGUUUGGAAGCUGCAGUAGUCUUCUUGUUACCUUGAAUAUUGAAAGUGUAAGUAUCAUGGAAUAUAAAACAGAAGAUGACUGCAUAAUUACAAUGCCAUUCACAAAGAAUUCUACUUGUGGGAUCUUCCUGCAGCAUACAUUCUCAGGCUCUGUAGGCAUUUGCUCACACUUGGCACAAAUACACCUGUAUAGAUAGAAGAGUUUUAAAAAGUGACAACAUUGCAGGUAAAGUGUAUUUGAAUGUUGUGUUACAGUUACAGACAUAAGUCGACAAAUACAACAAUAUAAUGAGAAAACAAGGUUUGAAUGAGGUAAAUACGUUAUGUUCUACACCUGCUUGGUCCAUUAAUGUUUUCAGAUAAUACUUUACUUUACAGCUGGAGCUUAACUUGUGUAUUUUGCUAUGCACCACUUGAGAAAAAUUAUUAAACAGGAUACAUAAAAAUUCAAACAGUCCAGCCAUCAAAAGCAAGCUAAGUCCCACAUGGUAGAUCCUGCAAGCCAUCUGGUUGAAUUAUUGAAAAAUUGUAUUCUGACAGAACACUGAAGAGAAGGGUGUAUUUGUUUGGCUGUUGCUCGUGUAGCAGGCAUAAUGGCGUCCCCAUUACCUGCAUUUAUAUAAACACUUUUCACAAACAGUAACUUCCAUAAACACACUGUAUUUGUUACAUACUCGUACAUGCACACACUAUUUACUAGCAUUGCGAUGCUCUCGACACCGACAACAGACCAUAUUUCCUUAGCCAAAGUAAAAAAUAAAAAAACAAA
Long non-coding RNA from Clupea harengus (Atlantic herring), 1945 nucleotides. RefSeq lists it as uncharacterized. NCBI's taxonomy places the organism in Eukaryota, Metazoa, Chordata, Actinopteri, Clupeiformes, Clupeidae. The record is from RefSeq and is a predicted model, not a curated record.